Molecule: long non-coding RNA, 597 nt
Filed under: Bos grunniens (domestic yak)
Lineage: Eukaryota; Metazoa; Chordata; Mammalia; Artiodactyla; Bovidae
Description: lncRNA (ENSBGRG00000026059.1)
Source: RNAcentral
CGAACCUGGACUGGCAACUCGUUUCCUACAUGAUAUUUUACAUGUUUCAUUGCCAUUCUCCCAAAUCUUCCCACCCUCUCCCUCUCCCACAGAGUCCAUAAGACUGUUCUAUACAUCAGUGUCUCUUUUGCUGUCUCGUACACGGGUUAUUGUUACCAUCUUUGGAACACUGAAACUAACAGAAUGUCCUCAAGGAAGUUCAACUCAAUUGCCUUCCUCUGAAAAAGACGCUAAACUACGUGAUUGUUCGAUGCUCCUGGAAAGAAAUAUCUGUUUCAUUUGAAGUUUCCAUUUUACCCUUGAAACCUAGGUUUGAUGGUGUGAGAAAUGCUUGCCUUCCUUUCUUUCUCCUGGUUGAGUUACAGAGAAUCAUUAGGUGCUUAUUAGACUAAUGUGAAGGCAGAUAACACCGGUUAUGGAGCCCAUGACUCAUUUUUAAAUUUUACCAGUUCUCUUUCACUUACUGCCUAAAUUGCAGGCUUUCUUGUGACAGGUAGCUCUGAAAUAGUAGAUAUCAAAAUUUAUGACUUAAAAAAGUUAAGGUGCUUAUCUUUAGAAAAUUCCUGGUAUGAGCCAAUUACCAACCUCUUUACUUUC